Molecule: ribosomal RNA, 439 nt
Filed under: uncultured bacterium
Lineage: Bacteria
Description: partial 16S ribosomal RNA
Rfam family: Bacterial small subunit ribosomal RNA
Source: RNAcentral
CUACGGGAUGCUCCAGUGAGGAAUAUUGCACAAUGGGGGGAACCCUGAUGCAGCAACGCCGCGUGGAGGAUGACGCAUUUCGGUGUGUAAACUCCUUUUAUAUGUCAAGAAAAUGACGGUAGCAUAUGAAUAAGCACCGGCUAACUCCGUGCCAGCAGCCGCGGUAAUACGGAGGGUGCAAGCGUUACUCGGAAUCACUGGGCGUAAAGGACGCGUAGGCGGGUUGGAAAGUCAGGUGUGAAAUCCUACAGCUUAACUGUAGAACUGCACUUGAAACUUCUAAUCUAGAGUAUGGGAGGGGGAGAUGGAAUUAGUGGUGUAGGGGUAAAAUCCGUAGAUAUCACUAGGAAUACCUAAAGCGAAGGCGAUCUCCUGGAACAUUACUGACGCUAAGGCGUGAAAGCGUGGGGAGCAAACAGGAUUAGAUACCCGGGUACUC